CAGUAGCCGCGGUAAUACGAAGGGUGCAAGCGUUAAUCGGAAUUACUGGGCGUAAAGCGUGCGUAGGCGGUUUGUUAAGUCUGCUGUGAAAUCCCCGGGCUCAACCUGGGAAUGGCAGUGGAUACUGGCAGGCUAGAGUGUGUCAGAGGAUGGUGGAAUUCCCGGUGUAGCGGUGAAAUGCGUAGAGAUCGGGAGGAACAUCAGUGGCGAAGGCGGCCAUCUGGGACAACACUGACGCUGAGGCACGAAAGCGUGGGGAGCAAACAGGAUUAGAUACCCGCGUAGUCCCUGUCUCUUAUAC
RNAcentral lists this ribosomal RNA (301 nucleotides) under uncultured bacterium. RNAcentral's name for it is "partial 16S ribosomal RNA". It matches the Rfam family "Bacterial small subunit ribosomal RNA", at positions 509 to 807 of the family's 1533-position model. The record is from RNAcentral.